CACCUACGGGUGGCAGCAGUGGGGAAUUUUGGACAAUGGGCGCAAGCCUGAUCCAGCCAUGCCGCGUGCAGGAUGAAGGCCUUCGGGUUGUAAACUGCUUUUGUACGGAACGAAAAGGUUCUUUCUAAUAAAGAGAGCUCAUGACGGUACCGUAAGAAUAAGCACCGGCUAACUACGUGCCAGCAGCCGCGGUAAUACGUAGGGUGCGAGCGUUAAUCGGAAUUACUGGGCGUAAAGCGUGCGCAGGCGGUUAUGUAAGACAGUUGUGAAAUCCCCGGGCUCAACCUGGGAACUGCAUCUGUGACUGCAUAGCUGGAGUACGGCAGAGGGGGAUGGAAUUCCGCGUGUAGCAGUGAAAUGCGUAGAUAUGCGGAGGAACACCGAUGGCGAAGGCAAUCCCCUGGGCCUGUACUGACGCUCAUGCACGAAAGCGUGGGGAGCAAACAGGAUUAGAUACCCUGGUAGUCCACGCCCUAAACGAUGUCAACUGGUUGUUGGGUCUUCACUGACUCAGUAACGAAGCUAACGCGUGAAGUGACCGCC
Molecule: ribosomal RNA, 543 nt
Filed under: uncultured bacterium
Lineage: Bacteria
Description: bacterial SSU rRNA
Rfam family: Bacterial small subunit ribosomal RNA
Source: RNAcentral